RNAcentral lists this ribosomal RNA (738 nucleotides) under unidentified archaeon. RNAcentral describes it as "bacterial SSU rRNA". It matches the Rfam family "Archaeal small subunit ribosomal RNA", at positions 123 to 859 of the family's 1478-position model. The record is from RNAcentral.
GGCAUAACCCCGGGAAACUGGGGAUAAUUCCGGAUAACGCACAUAUGCUGGAAUGCUUUAUGCGUGAAAUGGAUUCGUCUGCCCAAGGAUGGGUCUGCGGCCUAUCAGGUAGUAGUGGGUGUAAUGUACCUACUAGCCUACGACGGGUACGGGUUGUGAGAGCAAGAGCCCGGAGAUGGAUUCUGAGACAUGAAUCCAGGCCCUACGGGGCGCAGCAGGCGCGAAAACUUUACAAUGCGGGAAACCGUGAUAAGGGGACACCGAGUGCCAGCAUCCUAUGCUGGCUGUCCAGGUGUGCAAAAUACACCUGUUAGCAAGGGCCGGGCAAGACCGGUGCCAGCCGCCGCGGUAACACCGGCGGCCCGAGUGGUGAUCGUGAUUAUUGGGUCUAAAGGGUCCGUAGCCGGUUUGGUCAGUCCUCCGGGAAAUCUGACAGCUUAACUGUUAGGCUUUCGGAGGAUACUGCCAGACUUGGAACCGGGAGAGGUAAGAGGUACUACAGGGGUAGGAGUGAAAUCUUGUAAUCCCUGUGGGACCACCUGUGGCGAAGGCGUCUUACCAGAACGGGUUCGACGGUGAGGGACGAAAGCUGGGGGCACGAACCGGAUUAGAUACCCGGGUAGUCCCAGCCGUAAACGAUGCUCGCUAGGUGUCAGGCAUGGCGCGACCGUGUCUGGUGCCGCAGGGAAGCCGUGAAGCGAGCCACCUGGGAAGUACGGCCGCAAGGCUGAAACUUAA